GAAAGUAAAUCCCAAUUUCUUAAUUAGGAAACAACUAAAUAAUAAAGUAAUUUCAUCCCUAACUACUUUCCUAAAUCAGACUAUUCAAAGGAGAGGACCAAGUUUUUCCAAAGAAGCUUAAAGCUCAAGUAAUGCUUCAUGGGCAUGGAGAAGUUACAAGACAAGAAGUAAAACCCAGUUAUGAACCAACCCAAGGUGGCCGAAAAACUUCAUGACCAAAGUGGGCCAAGGCCGAAAAGAGAUCCAUGGACAGCAUGUGCAGCCAGCAAGACCCCUUUGCCACAUGUGCAGACCAUCACAUGUGCGAUAGAGCCCACCCGCACACACGGGUCCAUCACCAAUGUGAGACAACACAUGAGGCACGUAGACAAAUAACUUCGCACGCCUGGCAUUUGCAUAGAUGUGUGCAGGAAGUGCCCCACAUGCACGCAAUAGCCCGCAUGCACGUAGCACAAGGUUUAUCCAUAGUAGGGGUGCAUGCGCAUGGCCCAAGACCACGAAGCAACAGCCUGCACGAUCCUAACCCAACCCGACUGGCCUACACGAUCCAGGCUAAAUCUGAGUAGCCUGCGGAAUACAUGCCCAACCCUCGCA
RNAcentral lists this long non-coding RNA (594 nucleotides) under Carica papaya (papaya). Its description in RNAcentral is "long non-coding RNA (CPAP_LNC010185)". Lineage: Eukaryota; Viridiplantae; Streptophyta; Magnoliopsida; Brassicales; Caricaceae. The record is from RNAcentral.